AAGAAUUUGAGUGUUCUAGGUGGUUGAGAUUCAGACCCUGACAGUUGUAACUGAUGGACUAGGCUGGGCACUGCUGAUGAACCUCACAUUCCUGAGAGAAAAAUCAUCCAAAAGUAUUCUUCAACUUUCUAGAAGUCAUUAUGAGGGGCCCUGACUAACUGAGGAGACUCAUACAGAAACCCUUGCCCCAUCACAGAUACCUGGUUACCAUGUUCCUUCAAGAUGGCCAUCCCUUGGGAGGAUUACCCUUGGGCCUCAGAGAAGAAAGAAAACCAAAAGGCAUAAACAAUAAAUUGAAAACUGAAGGUGAAAGUCAAGUCUAAAGAUUUAGAGUAAGUGUUGUAGGUAGUAUGAAGUUAUAUCCUUAAAGGGAAUAAACUCUACCUGAGGUAGUAGGACAUUAGUUAGUUAAUGAAUUUUGUCAGCGUGGUUAUUUGUAUAAUUCAUGUGAGUGCACAUUUACAACCUGAGAUGAAUUCCUUUACCUUGGUCUGCUUUUGGCUCUAUCUUGGUAUGCAAGGCUGCUAUAAAAUGGAAGAUGCAAACUAAUUACAAGAUUAGGAGAAUUUUCAGAUAGGUGCUUAUCCUUGACCUGGCCCUACUAGAAAAUGAGGAUCACUUCAACAUGCAUUGGAGAAUUAAUAUUCCUGGCAGGCUAAUUCUACUUCUUUGCUCAAUCCAGGAGAAAAGAGAAUAAAAUGAAAAUAACAAAAAUAAUUUUCUCUCAAGGCCAUCAUUGCACUUUGUCCAAGUCUAGCAAGCACCAUGUGACAAGUAAGGGGUCAGGUAUAUGGCUUGACACCUGUUCCCAGGCAGCCUGCUUAGGUGCCCACACUGUCCUGCACUGGAAGUUUUUCUCCCUGAAUGAUCCAGGCCGGCUCUCAGUGCAACAUGAACUCACUGAUUCUUUGCCAACCUCUCAGUUCCCUUGAAGUGGCAGGUGCUUAAAAGCCUGCCUCCUGUUGCAAACCUCUGACUUCCAACAGCAUCCCCUUCUUGGCUACACUUCUGAAUCUGGAGUUUUAGCAACCAAAUAUCAGAGGCUGGCAGAAAUCUCAGACGAUGUUCUCCUGGAAUCACCUAGCCUGAGGGGUGUGUCCUUAUGAGGUCAAGGCUUUCAGAGGGGUUGCAGAGAGUGUCAGCUGGGGUCAGAUGAGAACAGCAGUCUGACUCAACAGACAUUUAUUGCACUCCUGCUGUAUGCCAAGAAAUGCACCGAAAUCUGGAAGUGUGUAACACAGAAGAAAAGGCUUAUCGCCAAGGAGCCCUCACCUGGAAAGAGAGAUGGAAUCUCAGCCUAAGGUGGUGAAAUGUUGACAUGCUACCAGGAGGACAAAACGGCAGAGGACUAAUUUUUACUUCCUGUUGGCUCAAGCAGGAAACUCAAGCCAGACUGAUUCCUCCAUGUUUGACUUACAACUUCGAGAGUGUCUAGCCAGGUAUCCUGAGUGCCAUCAAGCAAGUAACAGCUGGAGAACGUGCAGCGAAAGAAACCACACAACAAGGAGCCAAAUCACAUUUUUCACUUAGUACGGAACAACUUUAGGAUAAGUUGACACCUAACACAUUGCAGUCCGAUGUUUGCCACCGUGUCUGAUACACGGCACUGUGUGUAUAUCAUGCAAUUAUGUUCUUCACGUGAUUGUUCACAUAAACUUAUUACAUUUUGGAACAGAUACAGCUAAAAUAAAUCUCUUUUGAAUUUUCAGCAGAAAAAUGCUAUUGGUUAAUACCAAUUAAUAUACGAUUAGACUAUGUGUAGUUGUUUUGGGCAUAUGACACUAAGGGUUCUGCACCUAGUUCCAACGUGUGAAUUUUUCCCCUCACACCAAGCAAUGCUCCAACACCCACUAGGCAUCCUACAAUUCAACUCAAUAGGUUUCUCAUGCUGUCUCUACAGAGAUAGUCCCACAAGACUGCCCUCCACUUCGAAUAGCUUUUGGCAAGUCUAGGCUUGCUACUUUUGCUUCUGACAGACUCAGAGGUUCCCAUGACACCCUCAUUUUUUCAUUCUAUUUUAUUUUAAUAUUUAUUUUUGAGAGAGAGCGAGAGAGCGAGAGAGAGCGAGUGCACAAGUGAGGGAGAGGCAGAGAGAGAGGGAGACAGAAUCUGAAGCAGGCUCUGGGCUCUCAGCUGUCAGCACAGAGCCUGAUGCGGGGCUUGAUCUCACGAACCGGAAGAUCCUGACCUGAGCCGAAGUGGGACGCUUCACCGACUGAGCCACCCAGGUGUCCCCCCCUCCUUGGUUUUGAUUAAUUUGCUGGAGCUGCUCAUAGAAGUCAGAAACAUUUUACUUACUAGGUUACCACUUUAUCAAGAAAGGUACAACUCAGGAGCAGCCAGAUGGAAAGACCUACAGGACGAGGUUCGGAAAAAAGGCUUAAAGCUUCCGUGUCCUUCCAGAGCAAGUCACCCACCCCAAACUGCCAUGGGUUCACACACCCGGAAGCUCUUCGAACCUAGUCCUUUUGGAUUUUUAUGGAGGCCUCAUUACACAGGCAUGAUUGAUUAAGUCAUUGGCCUUUGGUGAUUGAACUCGAUCUCCAGCCCCUCCCC
Acinonyx jubatus (cheetah) is the source of this 2556-nucleotide long non-coding RNA. RefSeq lists it as uncharacterized. The transcript is spliced from 5 exons. The record is from RefSeq and is a predicted model, not a curated record. Lineage: Eukaryota; Metazoa; Chordata; Mammalia; Carnivora; Felidae.